RNAcentral lists this ribosomal RNA (974 nucleotides) under uncultured bacterium. RNAcentral describes it as "bacterial SSU rRNA". It matches the Rfam family "Bacterial small subunit ribosomal RNA", at positions 8 to 956 of the family's 1533-position model. The record is from RNAcentral.
AGAGUUUGAUCAUGGCUCAGAACGAACGCUGGCGGCGUGGAUAAGACAUGCAAGUCGAGCGCUGGUCAGGUGGUAGCAAUAUCGCUUGAUCGGAGCGGCGCAAGGGUGCGUAACACGUGGGUAAUUUGCCAUGAAGUUGGGGAUAACUCGCUGAAAGGCGAGCUAAUACCGAAUGUGACCCGAGGGAGGCAUCUCUCUUUGGUUAAAGCUGGGGACCGCAAGGCCUGACGCUUCAUGAUAAACCCGCGGCCUAUCAGCUAGUUGGUGAGGUAACGGCCCACCAAGGCUAAGACGGGUAGCUGGUCUGAGAGGACGACCAGCCACACUGGAACUGAGACACGGUCCAGACACCUACGGGUGGCAGCAGUCGAGAAUUUUUCACAAUGGGGGAAACCCUGAUGGAGCGACGCCGCGUGGGGGAUGAAUGGCUUCGGCCCGUAAACCCCUGUCAUUUGCGAACAAAUUUUUUCACCUAACACGUGAAGAAUUGAUUGUAGCGGAAGAGGAAGGGACGGCUAACUCUGUGCCAGCAGCCGCGGUAAUACAGAGGUCCCAAGCGUUGUUCGGAUUCACUGGGCGUAAAGGGUGCGCAGGUGGCCGGGUAAGUCUGAUGUGAAAUCUCGAAGCUCAACUUCGAAACUGCAUUGGAUACUAUCCGGCUGGAGGGUCGGAGGGGGGACUGGAAUUCUCGGUGUAGCAGUGAAAUGCGUAGAUAUCGAGAGGAACACCAGUGGCGAAGGCGAGUCCCUGGACGACUCCUGACACUGAGGCACGAAAGCUAGGGGAGCAAACAGGAUUAGAUACCCUGGUAGUCCUAGCCGUAAACGGUGCAUAUUUGCUGUAAAAGGAAUCGACCCCUUUUGUGGCGCAGCUAACGCGUUAAAUAUGCCGCCUGGAAGUACGGUCGCAAGAUUAAAACUCAAAGAAAUUGACGGGGCCUGCACAAGCGGUGGAGUAUGUGGCUUAAUUCGAUG